UCCUCUUUCUUCCUGGCUCUAG
RNAcentral lists this microRNA (22 nucleotides) under Mus musculus (house mouse). RNAcentral describes it as "mmu-miR-6961-3p". The record is from miRBase by way of RNAcentral. Lineage: Eukaryota; Metazoa; Chordata; Mammalia; Rodentia; Muridae.